This 2827-nucleotide long non-coding RNA is filed under the name Homo sapiens (human). RNAcentral's name for it is "non-protein coding SRP14-AS1:14". The record is from RNAcentral. Lineage: Eukaryota; Metazoa; Chordata; Mammalia; Primates; Hominidae.
CGAGAAAUCGUCUCACCCCAGCCAGUGUGACGGAGUGAGAGCAAAAGAAAGUUUUGAUAGCAGCGUACGAUUUAUAUUCAGCUGUAUGCUGGGCAGGUCCAACUUGGCAUUUCUUGGCUGUAUCUCUGAAGGAAAGUCAUCUUAAUCUCUAUGAGCCUCCAUUUCCUCAGCUGUAAAAUGGGAAGAUCUUCCUCACACUGCUGUGAGGAAGCGGAUUUUCUGACGCAUAUGAAGAGUGAGAACUGUCUACAUCUAAGUCUUCUUUGAGAACAAUACCAGCUGAGCGGCUAUUUACAUUCCAGCUUCUUUUGAGAAUCUCUGAAGAUGAUUAAGUCAUUGUCAGCUGGCCCAGAACCAUAUCCUGCUCCACAAGCCUCGUCCUUGGCAAGAAGUUGCACCUGCCCAGAGAGAAAACCUUUUGAAACUGGCACAAAGGCACUGGAGAGACUGGCAGGGCCCCCUACUUGACGAUCUGGCUCAUCCAUCUGCACACUGACCACGCUAAGAGCUGUCUGCAGUGAUGGAAACCUUCUCUAGCUGUGCUGUCCUCUAUAGUGGCACCAGCUGCCUGUGGCUACUGAGCACUUCAACUGUGGCUGCAGAGACUAUGUUAAAUUGUAUUUAAUCAUAAUUAAUUUAAUUGUAAACAACUACAUGUGGCUAGUGGUUUCUGUACUGGGCACUGCAGGUGCACAUUUCCUGCUGGCCAUGGACAGUAAGCUCCAUAAGAGACUAAUUGUGCCUGGUUUGCUUAUAGGCUUAUCCUCAGCACCUGCACCAGCCUAGAAUAUGAUUGGCACUCUAUUAAUUAAAAGUUCCCAGGUAAAUGAAUUAGUGGAUUCUCUGUUUCCUCCACUAUGCCACAACCUCCUUAAGGGCAGAGAUGGUGUCUUCAAAAAAAAAAAAUUCUGGUCAAAAACACAUAAGAUCUACCACCUUCACCAUUGUUGUGUCCAGUUCAGUAGUAUUAACUACACUUACAUUGUGAUACAACAAAAGAUUGUGUCUUUUUACAUUCUUAGGACCCAGCACAGUGUCUGGCACAUAAUCUUAGUAAACACUGGCAGAGCACAUGCCUUUGCCAAGGCCAGAACAGAGGUUCAGUGCCAUCCAUUACCACCCUUUCACACAUCCACUGGGGCUUUAAAAACAACCUGGAAUGAAAGCUGUUGAGUCUAGAGAAAUGGGCUACAAAGAAGGUUUACAAGAUAAUCUAUUAAGAAUAGGGAAUACAGGCCGGGCACGGUGGCUCACACCUGUAAUCCCAGCACUUUGGGAGGCUGAGGUGGGUGGAUCAUUUGAGGUCAGGAGUUCGAGACCAGCCUGGCCAAUGUGGUGAAAUCCUGUCUCUACCAAAAAUUAUCCAGGCAUGGUGGUGCGUGCCUGUAGUCCCAGCUACUUGGGAGGCUGAGGCAUGAGCAUCGCUUGAACCCGGGAGGCAGAGGUUGCAGUGAGCCGAGAUCGCGCCACUACACCCCAGCCUGGGUGACAGAGCAAGACUCCGUCUCAAAAAAAUAAAAAAACCUAAAAUAAAGCUUAAUACACAUGACAUAUGGAUUGGCAGUCACACAUAAAUAUGAUUGAUAAGGAUACAAAUAUUUGGAGGUGCUGCCUGACCAUCUGUUGCUGAUUAUGUGGAGAUCACUUGUCUAGGACCCUGAGAUAGACUGAUGUUUCUAACUCUGCCACACACGGUCUCUCCCACCCUCCAGACACUUUCUUCCUUCAGUUCAGGGAACCCUCAAUACACAGUAAGAAUGAAGAGGUUGCAGGUCUGAGCUUGAGGAGGACUGGACUAAAAGGAGUUUAGCCCUGCCAGGGCAUUCCGAGGACUGUGAAGAUCCGGAAUAUUGGCCACAGGCAUCUAUGUAUUUGAAUCAUAUCCAUUUUUGAGCUCACUCCUAGCAGAGGAGUCAAAACUUACGUUCUGGCCCCCAGGUACAUUUCCAGUCUCUUACUCAUAAAAUUGUGACAUACCCCCAGGGGUGCCCAAAGGGGUUUGUGAAUCAAGAUAGUUUGAGGAGAAUCGAUUUUCUGAUCCUCAGUUUUUCUAUGCUCUUUUUCCUAAAAGCGAUAUUCCUAAAAAGGCAUCCAAGACAAGGCAUCCCCUUUCCCAUUUGCUGGGGAAGACAGCUUUACAAGAGAAAGCUGCCCCUCUCACCCAUGUGACCCCCCACUCUGGGGCACUGCCCUAGGGGUAGAAAUCUCCAAGGCAUCAAACAAAGUGACUCCUGGGGGUCAAGUGACAGAGGAGCAAGUCUUUCUGCAAGUCAAGUGGUUUCCAGCUCUGCUUUCAGCAAAAUUGAAAGAGGCACUAAUCAAAUUGCCAGCGGAUCAUAAAAAAACAUUUUGAUAAUAAUGUUAUUAGGCAUAUAACUUGGAAGAAGUUCAAAGAAUUGAAUGGCAUCCUCAUAACAAACUCAUCGGCUUCCAUUUAUUUAUUUAUGUGGACAGUGUUUCUCAAUGUUUAAACCUACAAAAGACUAAACAUGGGAGUAAACUUCAUGUUGAACCUUGUGUGAGUCUAGCAAUAAGUCAUCCACAUAUACAUACACUAAUUGGGAAGAAAACCUGUCCCAACCCCAACUAUUUUAUUAAGAGAUGCAUUUCCAAUAAAAAUUUACCUUUUAUGUUUAAUAGUUGUUUAUCAAAUUUCGUAAUUAUUUACAUUGCUCUGAUCAAUUGGAUAUAAACUAUUCUAACACUAAACUCAUAACCAAAAAAUUAAUGCUCAGCUUUGGGAACAGAGGAAUUUUUUUUUUUUUUUUUUUUUUUGAGAAGGAGUCUUGCUCUGUUACCCAGGCUGGAGUGCAGAGGCGCAAUUUCA